GUGCUUGCUUCAGCAGCACAUAUACUAAAUUUGGAAAGAUACAGAGAAGAUUAGCAUAGCCCCUACACAAGAAUGACAUAAAUACAUGAAUUGUUCUGUAUUUCA
Molecule: small nuclear RNA, 105 nt
Organism: Pongo abelii (Sumatran orangutan)
Lineage: Eukaryota; Metazoa; Chordata; Mammalia; Primates; Hominidae
Source: Ensembl